Long non-coding RNA from Hordeum vulgare subsp. vulgare (domesticated barley), 705 nucleotides. RefSeq lists it as uncharacterized. The transcript is spliced from 4 exons. The record is from RefSeq and is a predicted model, not a curated record. NCBI's taxonomy places the organism in Eukaryota, Viridiplantae, Streptophyta, Magnoliopsida, Poales, Poaceae.
AGUUGCCGCAACUAGCGGCGCAUAGGAGGUCCCGCGAUUCCCCUCUUCCGCCUCUCCCACUCUGCCGCCUCCUCCCACUCUUCCAAUCUGAGCUCGCCGUCAGCCGCCGCCCGCCUGUCUCCGUGAUCCACUCCUCGCCGGCCACUUGCCGUCGCCGCAUCCAACCCUUCGCGUCUCUGUCCCUCCGUGCCUGGAUGCGCCCUUCCCAGCACUCUGCUGCCGUGCCCGCGCAGUCCACUGCCCCUAGCGGCCAGUCGCCCAGUCCGCGGAUCAAUGACCGGAAUUGUGAAGGUGUGACCACGUGAGGCGUGCACCCUGCCCUGCAACUACAGCAAUAGCCUGCAGCCACCAGCCAGCCCUCCGACCAUCCAACGACUGAACACAACACAUAGAAUUGUUCAAGAAUGCAGGGGAUACGAGACAUUGCUUCUCUUUUCCGGAAACAUGUUGCGGAGAAGGCUAUGCCUAACCCAAAUUUCGUUGAAGGGCAAACCAAACAACCUGCACAUAUUCUUAAAGAGAUGAUGGAGACAUGAGCUGCUUCAACUGAACUGCAAUGGUUAAUAAGCACGGAGCCGCACAGCUUUGGGUUCCCGUGAAAGCUAGACGUCUGAAAGGGAUUGCACCCGUGAGAUGGUUAUUAGACAAAUCUAGCCCCUGGAGGUUCGUGAGGCUGCAGAUUGAUUGUGGGAUCUCUCCAUAAAA